RNAcentral lists this ribosomal RNA (465 nucleotides) under uncultured bacterium. Its description in RNAcentral is "partial 16S ribosomal RNA". It matches the Rfam family "Bacterial small subunit ribosomal RNA", at positions 28 to 507 of the family's 1533-position model. The record is from RNAcentral.
GACGAACGCUGGCGGCGUGCUUAACACAUGCAAGUCGAACGGAAAGGCCCUGCUUGCAGGGUACUCUAGUGUCGAAAGGGUGAGUAUAACGUGGGAGAUAUCUCCUGCACACCGGGGUAUAACUGGGAAAAACGGUCUAAUACAGGAUAGGAGACCUCCUUCGUGUUGUGGUUGGUAAGUAUUUUCGGUGUAGGAUGGGCUCGCGGCCUAUUAGUUUGCUGGUGGGGUAGUGGCCUGCCAAGGAGGCGACGGGUAGCCGGCCUGAGAGGGGGGACGGCCACAUUGGGACUGGGAAACGGCCCAGACUCCUACGGGAGGCAGCAGGUGGGGAUAUUGCACAAUGGGGGCAAGCCUGAUGCAGCGACGCCGCGUGGGGGGUGACGGCCUUCGGGGUGUAAACUCCUUUCGCUAGGUACGAAGCUGUGUGUGACGGUACCUAGAAAAGAAGCACCGGCUAACUACGUG